This 77-nucleotide transfer RNA is filed under the name Actinotignum schaalii. Its description in RNAcentral is "tRNA-Pro". It matches the Rfam family "tRNA". From Rfam's summary of the family: Transfer RNA (tRNA) molecules are approximately 80 nucleotides in length. Their secondary structure includes four short double-helical elements and three loops (D, anti-codon, and T loops). The record is from RNAcentral. RNAcentral also lists the same sequence under 3 other names. Lineage: Bacteria; Bacillati; Actinomycetota; Actinomycetes; Actinomycetales; Actinomycetaceae.
CGGGACGUGGCGCAGUUUGGUAGCGCACCCGCUUUGGGAGCGGGGGGUCGCGGGUUCAAGUCCCGCCGUCCCGACCG